This is a long non-coding RNA of Lutra lutra (Eurasian river otter), 895 nucleotides long. RefSeq lists it as uncharacterized. The record is from RefSeq and is a predicted model, not a curated record. The transcript is spliced from 4 exons. Lineage: Eukaryota; Metazoa; Chordata; Mammalia; Carnivora; Mustelidae.
UGCUUCACUCAGGCAGCGUGUCCUGGAGGCCUGGGGGCAUUGCCCUGGCAGAGAGAGACAGAGACUGAGAGAGGCUGGGGGACAGAGAGGCUGGGAGAGCGAAUUGGGCGCAGUGACUGUGCGUCUGUGAGCGCUCCUUUGUCUGGCCUCCAGUGACCACCUCGCGGGACGAUGGGGCGCGCGCGAGUGGGCACUCUGAACACGGGUGCUCGCGGCAACGGGGACGUGUCGAAAUGGGGCUACUGAGGCCGCAGUCAGUGAGACGGCUCCGCCACAGCCAGCCUGGAGAGCCGCACUUUUCUCUCCCAAGGAAAGCCACCUCCUGGGAAUCUCCCUCAGCGUCGGUGCGGCUUUCACCGAUGCUCCGCCCCCUGCCAGCAGGUGACUUCCAAGUGGGAGGAGAGUGACAAGAUCUGAUGGCCAAUAUCUGAUGAAAAUAUCACUGGUGGAUGAUGACUGAGCCCUUCACCUACCCUGGAUGUCCUACCUCUUCGCCACAAGGCCCCUGAGACCCUUCUCCCCACCCCAUAGGCAGUGGGCACUUGAAAUGAGCGGUGCUUCUUGGUAGCUGCAAACCCAGAGACCAGCCUCCCUGUACACUGCACAAGGCCAAGUGCAGAAGAACAAAGCUCUUGGACCAGCUUCUCUCUAGCCCUUAGUCAGAAAAAGUGGGAAGGAACCUGUCCCCAGGCUGGAACCUGCCACCCACCCAGAGUCUCCACUGGCGCCUUAGAAGUUCUGGGAUGGGGUGGGGGGAAAAGAGAGCUGGGAAUGAGGCCAGGAAUGCCUGUCCUUUUCCAAGCUUGUCCCCGUCUCUGGGGUCUGAGCCAGCCAUCUCCACACAGAACACAUGGCUUUGUCUCAGUUCUCCUCCAUUUUAUAAAGACUCCCUACU